UACGGAGGGUGCGAGCGUUAAUCGGAAUGACUGGGCGUAAAGGGCACGUAGGCGGAUAGAUAAGCGGUUUGUGAAAGGCUCGGGCUUAACCUGGGGAUGGCAAGCCGAACUAUUUAUCUCGAGUUUUGGAGAGGGGAGUGGAAUUUCCGGAGUAGCGGUGAAAUGCGUAGAUUUCGGAAGGAACACCAGUGGCGAAGGCGACUCUCUGGCCAAAGACUGACGCUGAGGUGCGAAAGUGUGGGGAGCAAACAGG
This 253-nucleotide ribosomal RNA is filed under the name uncultured bacterium. Its description in RNAcentral is "partial 16S ribosomal RNA". It matches the Rfam family "Bacterial small subunit ribosomal RNA", at positions 524 to 776 of the family's 1533-position model. The record is from RNAcentral.